RNAcentral lists this ribosomal RNA (490 nucleotides) under uncultured bacterium. Its description in RNAcentral is "partial 16S ribosomal RNA". It matches the Rfam family "Bacterial small subunit ribosomal RNA", at positions 30 to 507 of the family's 1533-position model. The record is from RNAcentral.
AGUGAACGCUGGCGGUAGGCCUAACACAUGCAAGUCGAACGGCAGCACCCGAGCGUUUGCGCUCUGGGUAGCGGGUGGCGGAUGGGUGAGGAAUACAUCGGAAUCUGCCCAGUCGGGGGGGAGAACGUGGGAAAACUUAUGCUAAUACAGAAUACGACCUUCUGGUGGAAGUGGGGGAUCGCAAGACGUCGCGCGAUUGGAUGGGCCGCUGUCGGCUUGGCGAGGUGGCGGGGUAAUGGCCCACCAAGGCGACGAUGCGUAGCUGGUCGGAGAAGAUGACCAGCCACACUGGAACUGAGACACGGUACAGACUCCUACAGGAGGCAGCAGUGGGGAAGAUUGGACAAUGGGCGCAAGCCUGAUCCAGCCGUGCCGCGUGGGUGAAGAAGGCCUUCGGGUUGUAAAGCCCUUUUGUUGGGAAAGAAAUCUUUCAGGCUAAUACCCUGGGAGGAUGACGGUACCCAAAGAAUAAGCACCGGCUAACUACGUG